Molecule: ribosomal RNA, 430 nt
Filed under: Pseudomonadota bacterium
Lineage: Bacteria; Pseudomonadati; Pseudomonadota
Description: Proteobacteria bacterium partial 16S ribosomal RNA
Rfam family: Bacterial small subunit ribosomal RNA
Source: RNAcentral
UGGGGAAUAUUGGACAAUGGGGGGAACCCUGAUCCAGCCAUGCCGCGUGUGUGAAGAAGGCCUUAUGGUUGUAAAGCACUUUAAGCGAGGAGGAGGGUACUGGUAUUAAUACUACCAGCUACUGGACGUUACUCGCAGAAUAAGCACCGGCUAACUCUGUGCCAGCAGCCGCGGUAAUACAGAGGGUGCGAGCGUUAAUCGGAUUUACUGGGCGUAAAGCGUCCGUAGGCGGCUAAUUGAGUCGGAUGUGAAAUCCCCGAGCUUAACUUGGGAAUUGCAUUCGAUACUGGUUAGCUAGAGUGUGGGAGAGGAUGGUAGAAUUCCAGGUGUAGCGGUGAAAUGCGUAGAGAUCUGGAGGAAUACCGAUGGCGAAGGCAGCCAUCUGGCCUAACACUGACGCUGAGGUACGAAAGCAUGGGGAGCAAACAGG